CUGUCCACACGUACCCGGAUAAAUACGUUGUUAAGGACAUGCCAGACCUGUAGGCGGCAGUACUUCCCCCGUUCUUAACCUCGUCCUUCGUCUGUGGUCUUCCGCAAGGAGCAGUGAUUCCGCUUGCAAAAACAAACAAGCAAAAAGUGCUUGGACAAUUGAUAAAGCGAGCGCAGCUCUGAGGGCUUCCAUGCUGUCGGCUAGUGUAAACACAGGUCGCACACAUGAUGUCAGCAUUUUUUUGUCGCGGAAAGUGACGUUGCAGACCUUAAAACUCCGGCUUUGUCUGUCCACACGCAGACACCCAAAACGGAGAAAACGCAGAUCUUCACUUUGGCCGGAGUUUUUAAAAAGAUUUGUUUUCGUGUGAAAAAAAACUCAGUUUUUGUGUGGUUGACAGGCCAAAACGUAGAAAAAUAUCUACGUUUUGGCAGAUCCCCGGCGACGUGUCCCCUUCAAUAUUGGACAAACGCGCAUUUGUCCCCCCCAACAACAAGGAGAAGACAAAAAUUGAUUUUGAAAUAUUUGACUCGCAAGCUUUUAUUUUGAAAGACACCGCGGACUUCUCACUGACACAGCCCCUCCCCUUAGGGAGUCAGACAGGCUGGCUGAGUGAAGCGGGAGUCGGAGCUGGGACGGCAGCAGCUCAGCGAGUUCUUCUCAUGGGCAAAAUAAGGAAGAAAGGAAAUGUGAGUUGGUAAUAAUUUAGUCCAAGAGCAUAAUUGUAUUUCUGGUCAAACGUUAGACUGGCUGACUAACGUAAACAUCUUGCUAGGCAGCAUUAAACAUUAAACAACACUACUAGUCAACAAAAAAUGGCAAAUUUGACAGUACGAGACAAAAACCAUUUGACACGAAAUAAAUAAAAAAGUAGAAUCUCCACAUAAAAAUGGAAUUUGUAACAUUUUAUUUUGAAACCUUAUUCAUGUCACUUUUUUCUUGUAAGAGACCAGAGGAAGUUCAGCAGGAAAUGAUGAAGAAAGUGAGACAGGCAGUGCCAGACCUGCUGAGGGUGAGACAGGGAGCAAAAGACUUGCUGAGGUGCAGCUCUAGUCACGCAACACUGUGUGUGCAAACCUCAGAAACUUUUCAACCCUGCACACAAGUCAGCCAUCAAGUAUCUGCAAUUGACAGAAUCGCGUGCAAUUCUGGAUGCCCUGGACUCAGCUGGAACUCACCAAGGGGAUUAAAAGGAAAAGAUGGAGUGGAGCUUUACCUGCUUCUGCAGAUGUCAGCUGCUGAAAUAAUGUUUGCAAAAAGGUUUUAUUUUGAUGGGAAAAUACAUUUUGGGGAUGAAAAAUCAGUUUUGUCCAGUUGUUAG
This 1321-nucleotide long non-coding RNA is filed under the name Nothobranchius furzeri (turquoise killifish). Its description in RNAcentral is "lncRNA (ENSNFUG00015003911.1)". The record is from RNAcentral. Lineage: Eukaryota; Metazoa; Chordata; Actinopteri; Cyprinodontiformes; Nothobranchiidae.